Transfer RNA from Scleropages formosus (Asian bonytongue), 73 nucleotides. It matches the Rfam family "tRNA". Rfam says of the family: Transfer RNA (tRNA) molecules are approximately 80 nucleotides in length. Their secondary structure includes four short double-helical elements and three loops (D, anti-codon, and T loops). Further hydrogen bonds mediate the characteristic L-shaped molecular structure. tRNAs have two regions of fundamental functional importance: the anti-codon, which is responsible for specific mRNA codon recognition, and the 3' end, to which the tRNAs corresponding amino acid is attached (by aminoacyl-tRNA synthetases). tRNAs cope with the degeneracy of the genetic code in two manners: having more than one tRNA (with a specific anti-codon) for a particular amino acid; and 'wobble' base-pairing, i.e. permitting non-standard base-pairing at the 3rd anti-codon position. NCBI's taxonomy places the organism in Eukaryota, Metazoa, Chordata, Actinopteri, Osteoglossiformes, Osteoglossidae. The record is from Rfam.
GCUUGGAUAGUUCAGUUGAUAAAGUGUCAGACUUUUAAUCUGGGAGUCCAGGGUUCAAGUCCCUGUUUAGGCA